This is an RNA transcript of Glycine soja, 1625 nucleotides long. RefSeq lists it as uncharacterized. The transcript is spliced from 9 exons. Lineage: Eukaryota; Viridiplantae; Streptophyta; Magnoliopsida; Fabales; Fabaceae. The record is from RefSeq and is a predicted model, not a curated record.
AUCACAUUCGUUGCCACGCACCUCUAGAUUUUUCUUCCUCUUCUUCUCUUUCAAUUUCUCUCAUCAAAGUUUCGACCUUUGCUAAAAUUCAAUCAUGGGGAACGCCCUGAGAUUCCUCUACAGCCAUUGCUGCAAGCCCACACCAGCUGGCCACAGUGUUUCCUCUGCCACCGUUUCUGUUUCAGCACUUGCCCAUGAUCUCUUUCGCUUUGACAUCACCUCCCAGGUCCCGGAAGGACUCAGCAAGCAUGUUGUUUCUUCUAAGAAGGCUCAGGCUAAUUGGUGUUUUUAUAUGACCGUCGUUGUAAGUUUAAGACGGUUUUCACCUCCUUCGAUUCCAACAGCCAAUGACUGAAGUUGAAGCAGGAAGAUUAGUUGGUGUGCGAGGAAUCCAUGAAGGGGUCAUGAGAAAGAGAAAGAGACAGGAAGCAAUAGUAUGAAGCGUGGACUUAAUAGAAGGAAGAGAAUGAGGCCAAAACCAGCUUUUAAGUGCAAGUUUGCAUGAUCUUCCCCUUUUUUCGUUGGUUUCGGAUCAGUUUAAAUAAGGUACAAGCAGGCAGAAAGCUUGUCCCAGCCACAUUAGGCAUAACAUUAGUAAGAGGUUAUCAAACAAUAGAUCCAGAUCUCUGCCUGCCUGGUGUUCGUAGCUUCAUUGAGCAACAAAUUACUCUUAUUGCCAAGGGUCAGGUGGAUCAUGGUCAUGUGGUGCAGCAUGUAAUCCAACAGUUCACACAGAAGUUUAGUUACUUUGUCAAAAAGGUCACAAUUUAUCUAGUAUUUCCCUGGCUUGGUUACAUCAUCUGCUUCGGUCUUAAUUGAAUCAGAUUGAACACAUGGAUGCAUUAUUUGAAGCACAGUUUUCUACGCUAACUGAUUCAGGGCGUAUUCUGAGCAAAUGUGGUAAAUGCUUGAGUUAUAUGAAGUACAUUUUUACUCAGCCAUCACGAUUGUAUUGUGGUACAUGUGAGGAGGUUUACUAUCUUCCACAGAAGGGCACAAUAAAGGUAUAGAAAGUUAGUUGAUGCUUGGAAAGAGGCAAAACCCCCUCCUAAGACACCUGAAGAAGCUGCUAGACUUGUCAUUCAGACCUUGAAAAGGCAUCAAAAGGCAGAUGUUGAGGUUUGCAUGGAUUUAUGGUCUUCCUCUACCACACACCCUUGUUCAAGGAACUGCCCAACCCCUUCAUCCUUCCCUAAUGGAGUUCAAUUUGAAAUGCACACAUUGCCGAUCCAAUAAAAGUGUGGAUGACCACUUUCUAUUAGUAGUAAGAUGAACAACCGGACAAACAAGCAUAAUGCAAGACGACAAAUCAUCAAACAUGAAAUUCAACCGAAAGAAGACUAUGUGCAAUCAAGUAAGAUCAUCCUCCUCAAGUUCUUUGGCUUUCAGUUUUUCCUUCACCCUCAAAAGAAGUGUUGUCUUCCAAGAAUCCUAUACAACAUUCACGCAAACAUGCAAUGUUGAUCAAAUACUGCUACAAAAGAUAUUUAUGGAAUGCAAAAAAGAAAAAUUGAUCAGAACAAGGAAUCUAAGUUGACAACCGUUCAUCACUCAGUUGAACAUAGUUACACAAAAAAUAAUGAUGAUUAUUACUUCCAAUAAAAUUGUAAUUUGAUUCAAUUCAA